Molecule: long non-coding RNA, 875 nt
Organism: Syzygium oleosum
Lineage: Eukaryota; Viridiplantae; Streptophyta; Magnoliopsida; Myrtales; Myrtaceae
Exons: 2
Source: RefSeq, a predicted model, not a curated record
UCAACGACCCUGCUACUGCUUCGCGUCCCAAUCCUAAUUUCCAAACCUGACUCUCUGCUUCGGAUGACCGUUGUCGGUCCCCGAGGUCGGGGUGUCUCCACCCUAUAAAUACCCGUCGUCUCCUCUCCUCUCCUCUCGUUCUUUGUAUCCUUCUGGUUCUGCUCGCGUUUUUCUUCUUUUCUCUCUCGCCCACAGCGUCUCUGCGAGAAAAAGAAGGAAGUAGCGGUCGCGAUUUAAGCGUUCUUCAUGGGAAACCCCCCGCCCUUGCUUACGAGCUUGGCCUCUUUGGGAGAGGACGAUGUAUCGGAAUUAUUUGGUCUUCGAUCGAUCUACCGUUAUUGGUUUCACCAGCAUAUUCUGGAUUUUUGUUCUUCGGCGAAUCCGCAGUGCCUUCUUUCCUCUCGGAUCAUAUAUCUUGACGGUUGAGGAUGGUCGUUAUGGGAGUUGUUUCGUUUAGCUCCUCCUCCGAUCCUCUUUAUUGAUCCAUCGACCGAUGGAUGUUUCCGUUUACUUGUUUACGAGCUGCUUCUGGGUUUUUGUUAUUUGGUGAAUUCGCAGUGGCCUUCUUUUUCCCCCUGGAGCGAAUGGACGGUGACACUGGUCAGUUCGUUUCGUGAUCCCUUUUGCCCUUCUUUUUUUUGGGUUGAGAUGAUGAAAUUAGUAGUCUUUUGAUCACAUCUUUGACUGGGCGACAGACUGAGAUUUUCUGGGUUUAGAUUGGAAUUUGUUCUUCGGUCUUUUUUAUCUUUGGGAGUUGAUUAGCGUCCAGGCCUAAUUCUCUCACGGGUUGGAGUUGGUUGUCGGUUUGAAUGAUAUUUGUUAUAUCCAGUCUCAUAAUUUUCCGGUUAAUGCGAAAACCGAUUUUCAUCUCUUCA